Dermochelys coriacea (leatherback sea turtle) is the source of this 2633-nucleotide long non-coding RNA. RefSeq lists it as uncharacterized. Lineage: Eukaryota; Metazoa; Chordata; Testudines; Dermochelyidae. The transcript is spliced from 5 exons. The record is from RefSeq and is a predicted model, not a curated record.
CAACUCUCCAAUCUCAUUCUCAUUUUAUGAGUUUGAUCAGGUGCUGGGCAUUGCACCCAGCAUGGAGCCAACUAUGGUGCAUGAUGACCUGGUCAGCCAGGAUGAUGUGCUGCUGGCCCCUGAAUCCAGCAUGGGGGCUGAUGUGAGUCAGAGCAGGAGCUGAGUGGGAAGCAUAAAGUGACUCUGUUUUUGACACCAGUCCCAGAGCAGGCUGUGGAACAGGAGCAAUCGCAAAUUCUAACUCCCUACCUGGAAAAGCUGUUUGAUCCGUGCCCUGAGGAAUACCCCACUGCCAAGUCUGCAGCAAACCCGGUGGAGACAGAAGCCGCCCCAGAGCCCAACUAACACAGCUGCUACUGUGAAACAUCUCUACAAUUGGCAGUCCAGGCUGUUGAGCACAAUCAAGAAGAAGAGAAUUUUAGAAGAUCACUAGCUCCAGCGUUCAAAGCACCCAGCACCCAGUGAAUACUUUGGUCCAAGUUUUGGAAUGAAAAACAGACUAGAGUUGAGACAUCAGUGAAAGCAGGUGAAAGUGUACCAGGUACCACAAAGGACUCCAGUGUUCCUGAAGCACAGAGAGUGGUGCUACAGAAUUAAAGGAAAAGGAUGGCUCAGCUUUCCGUGGGUAACGGUAAAGAAGGUUAUGGGAAUGGAACAAAAUUUGUCAAUGACAUAGUCAGCACGGAUGGAAAACAAUAAAAGCAGAAAGCUUUGAGGCACUGAAAAAGAGCCGUAGUGUCUCUGAACAGUGACUCAAAGGCAGAAUGUUCCUGGAGUAAAGAGGCUCUGGCAGCUUUUGUGCUAGACGGGAGUUCAAAGCUGUACAUGGAAACUGAAUGCGCUGACCUUGGCUUACUGUACUUCCAUUGGCAAAUAGGGAUGUCUCCUUUCCUACAGAGUGACCAUGUAAUUGAAGGUGCUAAAAGGAACACAGAUGUUUCAGACUGCUGCUGACAGGAAAAAAAUACAUUAGAAGAUUUCAUACAUACAACUAUACCAAAUCUGGCCUGCUGCCGAAUUGGAGUCCUAGUUGAAGAUCCUGCCAGGGACAUGGAAUGCUGCCAAAAGACCCUGCAGAUCCAACAGCUCCAGAGUACCCUAUGUGGGAGUGUGUCUGUUGUGGAAAGCCAGCAUGGUCAGCUGGGAAGAUGCUGUGUGAAUAGUCCAUGCUGCAACAGGAAGUGGAAUUUCAAAUUUCCAGGGCCUUUGAACAGGGGAGGGGCACAUGCCUAUGUACCUGGAGGGCAGUGGAGUUCAAACUGUUGAUGGGCAUUGUGGGACACCACCUGGAGGCCACUUAGAGCAACAUAAGUAAGCACACUGUCUACAGUGGCACUACAUCACUCUAACUAUGUUGCAAAAAAGCUCUCUGCCACUUGUUGUCAGCAUAGCAGGGGAUUUAAAUCAGCAGGAGGAGCAUAGUUGUGUGUACACCUCCACUGUUUGGUUGACAAAAGCUGACUGUUGUCGCCAAUCUGGGUAGUGUAGACAAGGCCCUUGUUGCACACCUCAUUGUGAAAUGUAGAAACACUCAUGCCAUUGCUGAGAAGUUAAUUUUACCCCCAGCUAUUGUGCACUGAAUUGUUGGGCAAGUCAGCUACAAAACAAUUAAAAACAAUCCCUCUCUCCAACAAUACAAUACAAUACAGAGAAGAAUCUGCAAUAUCUCAGACUGCAAACAACUGAUUGUCUUUUAGCAAGCAACUGUUUUGCUUUACAAUCAGAUGAAUCUACAGAUGUAUCAAACUGUACUAUCUAGCCGAUUUUAUGUGAGGCAUCUAUGGGAAAGUGAUUUUCAAGAACAGUACUUGUUUACUGAGGAUUUGCCUAUUUCUGAUGAUGAUGAUGAUACAUUUAUUGCACUGGGUAAUUACUUGGAGUAGGUGGUAUAGCCAAUGAUUUUAGUUCCUUUAUUGUGUGAUGUUAUAAUUAACAUGUCAUAUAUAAUCAUUUGUAUGCUAAAUAGAGUUAAGUUGCAGGAUUAUAAAAGUAUAAGACUGAUCAGUAUGUAGAGGGAAUAAUCAUGUAUUGGGUAUCUAAGUAAGUAGGGCUGAAACUCAAGGCCUGGCUGAGGCCUGUAAGAUUUUAGCUUAGCCACACUAGGCCUGGGAGCUAAGAAAUGCUGAUAUAAGUAAGUGACCAAAGAAUAACCCGAUGCCCUAAGACUAUGGAAAAAGAUGUACCAAUGGGUGAUAUUGCAAAAAUUUAACAGUAAUUUUUUUUCUUACAAGAUACCCGGUAGUCACAUUUUUCUAACACAUGCCCUAACCUCAGGGUGCACAAUGUGCAUAAAUGCUAAUGAGAUAUAGUCAGAGUCACAUUAUAAAAAGGGGGUGCCCAGAACAGGAAAAUUGAGCUCCCUAUGGGAAAACUCCAUCAGGAACCAUCCCUCUACUGAUUAUCAAUCCAUGAGAGACUCAUCAGACCUUAACACAAUUGUUAAGGAUGUGGGUAUAACUAUAUUUGUAACUUCUGCAUAGGUCUGUAUCGAAUUACUAUAUGCUUCGGUAAUCAUAACUUUAAUUGUAACUCUAAUAAAACUUGUAAAAUAGACUAGCCUGUGUACUUGUGAUAAUAUGUGUGGUGACUACCCUUGGGCUUUACGUGUUCCUAGAAGCCCUAAAUUUGAAGCA